UGUUCUUCAUGAGUAUUAAAGCUACAGCGAGCUGUUCAUAGCACAAGUGAAGGAAGACACAUGGCAGGAGCAAGACUGACAGACAUGGACCGGGUUAAGGACAUGUAUGAUGGAGUUGAUUCUGCUACAAUGAAUAAACAACAAAAAGAAGCGCACAUAAACAGAACACUUGAAGAAAACCCAGAUGUUCUGUUAAGGGUUUAUAAACAGGGCAAACUUCAUAUGUUGUUCUUAAGACCGACUCGUCCUGGACUGUGGAUGAGUGUGAUCCAGAGAAGGAUUACAACCAACCUGUCUUUUCAGAUGACUAAGAGACGUGCUGAAGACAAUAUCUUCAAGAUCACCAUGUCUGGUCUUCAGAAUGAACUUCAACGCUUCUGUGAUGAGUUUGAAGAUGUUAGGAGAAAUAUGAUGCUAGAUAAAGGAGCAGCAGCACAAAACAACCCAGAGGAUGAUGUUGAGGAGCUCAGAGAGAGAAUCAAGGAGCUGGAACUGGAAAACAGAAGACUACGUGAUCUUCUAGAUCAUUAGAUGUGUCUUCACACCAGGUGCACACCCGAGGCCUGUGUAUCACAGUUUCACUUUCCUCACUGCAGUGGGAGCAAAACCGGCUUUCAUUUAGUACUGAGCUUCACAAAGAAGGAAUGAAUUUCAAUUAAUCUAAGGCUUAGGAAUAGAUUUAAACUUACUCAUGUUUGUUUGUUUGUUUGUUUUUCGUUUGGUUUGAUUUAUUGAUUUUAUUGUAUUCAGUUUUAAAUGUUUAUUUCUCUCAUACACAACGUUGCACAUUACGACAUGCAGAUAAAUGUUGUCCUAAAAGAAGAAUAUAAUUGUUACAAUAAAAGUAGAUGUUGGAUUAUCUGUACAAAUAAUAGGAAUAAAAUAUAAAAAUAUAUAAAUAUAUUUAUAUGAAUAUAGUACAGUGAGCAAACAGUAUGACUUUGGGAAAUAAAGUUCAGAUGUUUACUAUAUUUUUUUGCAUAUAAUAGCCAUGUAAUAACAUUUACUGUGCGAUUUAAUAAACAUUUAAUAAAGUGAUUAUUAAAACA
Molecule: long non-coding RNA, 1049 nt
Organism: Tachysurus fulvidraco (yellow catfish)
Lineage: Eukaryota; Metazoa; Chordata; Actinopteri; Siluriformes; Bagridae
Exons: 2
Source: RefSeq, a predicted model, not a curated record